UAACAGAGGUUUUCCGGACGCUAUUUGCCAUCCUUCAGUGAAGGAGGAAAUUAAUUCACACAGAAUGCCAGCUUCCCUUAAAGAGACGCUAUGGGUGCCUCCUCAAUGGAAUUUUUCUCAAGCUGCAGCACAUGUUCUUGGUGGACCUCAGGAAGUAUUUGAAGUUUCAUCUGAAAC
Molecule: long non-coding RNA, 177 nt
Organism: Choloepus didactylus (southern two-toed sloth)
Lineage: Eukaryota; Metazoa; Chordata; Mammalia; Pilosa; Megalonychidae
Exons: 3
Source: RefSeq, a predicted model, not a curated record